Molecule: long non-coding RNA, 2578 nt
Organism: Cucumis melo (muskmelon)
Lineage: Eukaryota; Viridiplantae; Streptophyta; Magnoliopsida; Cucurbitales; Cucurbitaceae
Exons: 2
Source: RefSeq, a predicted model, not a curated record
UUUAUGAGCAAGAAAUAAUAUUUAGGUACGAGAAUAAAAAACAAGAAAGAGAUAUUUAGAACGAGAAAGGGGAACAAAAAAUUAUUGAAGAGCGAAAAGUAGAUAAAGUGAGGAAUUUGGAUAUUACGAUUAAGCGAGAACACGUAACUAAGGACGAGAAAUGGAAAUGAGAGAACUUCACAGCAAACUAGCCUUGCGGGCAGAUGGGGGUAUUUAGUAAUUUCGCAAGACACUGAUCAUUAGACAAUACUGGUUAGAAUUUGCAUCCCCGGUCACAUCUCAUUUGGAGGCCUUCCGUACAAAAUCCCCUUCCCACUAGAUGCCGCCGGCGAUGCAUCCAAAUCAAAGCCGGCUCCGGUUUCCGUUGGGGAUACGUUGCCGGACGGGGCAUCAGCCUACUACUUCGACGAGGACUAUAAGCUCCCGCAAGAAUCUGUACACUUCCUCGCCACCGGCAAAAAGGUUUUACCAAGGCAAGUUUGGAGACAGGCCUGAUCCAUUUGGUGCAUUGUAAUCCCAGCAUUGCAUAUAUUGGCUAUAGCUCGUGUGUAUUUCAUCCCAUAGCUGGACAUUCUGUUGCAGUGUUUCUCAUAGAUUUUUACCUGUAUUAUAGAGAUUAUUGCAUUGACAAAGUUUCUGAUGGUAUAAAAUAAGUUUGGAGUUGAAAAAUAGGACUUACAAAUGUCUUGAAGCAGUGCCAAUCAUCAACCAGGGAUUGCCCUUGCGCCCUAACAUUGUGAAGUAUUUCUGAGCUCCUUGCUUGUCCAAACAGAAGUUUGCCAAUGCUAUUUAUACUAUUGUCAGCAUGCCUUCUUUUGAAAAUUUCAUCCUCUAACUGUUCUCUAGCCUCCAUCUUUUCUCUAGACCCAAAUGGAGCUUCUUGAAACUGUUCAAAGCAAAAGUCUAGACACUUAGACUAUGCAGUAGAUUGGAACAUAAUUGAAUAUAUACGUUGUUGGAUAAAUCAUACCUUGUACUGAUAAUGAAUGAGACUAGCAUCGCGCUGGCUUACUGAAUUUGAUGACAAUUUUGACAGCGAUGAAAUAGUUUGAGGACUCUGAACAGAGUAUUUAUAGUUGUCAUAAUCAGGGCUAUUACCAAGAAAGGUGUCAAGGAAAUCAUUGCCGAUCCUUUUGUUCCCAUACAACAUUACAUGAGAACCAUAGCCAGACUUAUCAACAAAAGUUCUUCUUCGAACCUGCAGUUUGGAAAUGUACAAGGAAAUGUUUAUUAGUGGUGCGAUUUAAGAAGAUUGAGUUCAUUUAAGAAUUAGGAAGCUUACCGCAUGAUAUUGUUGGUUCAAAGUUUCUUUGCUCAAAUCAUGCUUGUCACUGCGCAUUAUGGCACAACACAGAUUUAUUUAAGAUGAUUAGAGAAUGACUAUGUAGACUUGAAACCGAUGUUACAAGGGCCUGAAUAUAGGAACUCGAACUUGGAUGCAUACUAUGUUAAAAACUUAAAAUACAACCGAACUCAAAAGCUUAAAGGGAUGAGUUAAUUUAAUUAUAUCAAUUCUUUAAUAUAGAUAAAAGGUGUUGAAAUAAAAUAUUGCCUGUCUUCCAUCCAAGCGACGCUGAACAAAUCUCCAAGGCAAGUGUUAUAGUCUUUGGGAGAACGAUGAGACUGCUUAGGACAAUAUGUUGCCCAACUAUCCUCUGUUGCAUUUGAUGCCGUUGUUGCAUAUAUCUUUAUGUUUUCUGGAAGUACUCCUUCAAACAUACUCCCGGACUCACAUGCUUCCACAUAUAUUACCUGAAUUUUUAUGUUAACUAAUUGUAACUUUGAUAUACAGUUUGAACUUCGUAAUUAUUGUUCUAUGAUCUAUAUUCCAUAUUUUAGUACCAUGCUUUUGUAAUUCUUGGCUUUAUGUUUCCUUUUCAGCACAUCUAUUAGAUCGUUGACAAAAAUAUAAUCGCCUUCAGGCAUUCCUGCAAUCAUGUGGAACAAAAUACAGCCAAAUUUAAUAAGGAAGUUAAGGAAGUUCAAGGUUGACCAGUUUGAAUUGUAUUUUCUAAGGAUUUAGAGAAUCAAUCCAAACAGACCCUUAAUUUGUUGAGGCGAAAAGUAGUAGUAAGUAUAAACUUAUUACCGAGCAUCCCAGCAGCACCAUGGUCGGAGUAGUAGAUGAAAAUAUGAUCCUGAGGGCCACUAUGAAUAACCUUACCACUUCCUCCAGUCAGAGCAGACUUGUUUCCCAAUAUGGCAGCAUAAAAGUUGACUGCAUUCACAUGCUUUCCUGUAUAGUCCUUGGGAACUCCAUGGUAAACAUCAUUUCCAUCUGGUUUGUUGAUAAUGAUUCCUGGCCUUGGAUUGCUCGGAUGAAAUGCAAUAUCAUCGUACAUGAAAACUAUUAUGUUUUCAUCAGGGAUUCCACCCUUUUUCAGUAUUUGAUAUGCGUGGCAUACAUCCGCCUAGGUUUUUGGUUUUUUAUAUAAAAAAGAAGAAGGUCGUUACUAUUUAUUAGUAGGAGAGCGAGUGGUUGGAAUAAUUAUUCAAUGAGUUUGUUGCAUUAUAUAUAUUGUAAAUCUAAGAAGCCGGUUAUGAAUACAAGACAUGAUGAUGUGUCAUUUUCUUUAAA